AAAAAUUAUUUGUUUUGGAGAAGAAGACCGUGUUAUUUUUUUAAUUCUCACCCUUACAUAUACGAAGUGUGCAGAAUAAUUUGUAAGACGGCAAGAGUGAUCAAAUGUUUGUAUUUUCCUCACUUUAAUUUCUGGCAGGCAACUAAAUCUCGGAAAAGUUCUUGAAUUUGGAAGAGUUUGCUUGAGGGGAGAGAUGUGCUAAAGCAAGGCUUCCAGUAUAAUAUUGGUGAUGGGCAGAGUACUCUGAUUUGGGAAGAUCCUUGGGUUCCAAACCUCCUGGGUUUUAAAGUAUCUAGACCUGCCCAUUG
Molecule: unclassified non-coding RNA, 308 nt
Filed under: Hevea brasiliensis (rubber tree)
Lineage: Eukaryota; Viridiplantae; Streptophyta; Magnoliopsida; Malpighiales; Euphorbiaceae
Source: RNAcentral